This 1352-nucleotide ribosomal RNA is filed under the name Lactiplantibacillus plantarum. RNAcentral describes it as "Lactobacillus plantarum 16S ribosomal RNA". It matches the Rfam family "Bacterial small subunit ribosomal RNA", at positions 93 to 1432 of the family's 1533-position model. Lineage: Bacteria; Bacillati; Bacillota; Bacilli; Lactobacillales; Lactobacillaceae. The record is from RNAcentral.
GAGUGGCGAACUGGUGAGUAACACGUGGGAAACCUGCCCAGAAGCGGGGGAUAACACCUGGAAACAGAUGCUAAUACCGCAUAACAACUUGGACCGCAUGGUCCGAGUUUGAAAGAUGGCUUCGGCUAUCACUUUUGGAUGGUCCCGCGGCGUAUUAGCUAGAUGGUGGGGUAACGGCUCACCAUGGCAAUGAUACGUAGCCGACCUGAGAGGGUAAUCGGCCACAUUGGGACUGAGACACGGCCCAAACUCCUACGGGAGGCAGCAGUAGGGAAUCUUCCACAAUGGACGAAAGUCUGAUGGAGCAACGCCGCGUGAGUGAAGAAGGGUUUCGGCUCGUAAAACUCUGUUGUUAAAGAAGAACAUAUCUGAGAGUAACUGUUCAGGUAUUGACGGUAUUUAACCAGAAAGCCACGGCUAACUACGUGCCAGCAGCCGCGGUAAUACGUAGGUGGCAAGCGUUGUCCGGAUUUAUUGGGCGUAAAGCGAGCGCAGGCGGUUUUUUAAGUCUGAUGUGAAAGCCUUCGGCUCAACCGAAGAAGUGCAUCGGAAACUGGGAAACUUGAGUGCAGAAGAGGACAGUGGAACUCCAUGUGUAGCGGUGAAAUGCGUAGAUAUAUGGAAGAACACCAGUGGCGAAGGCGGCUGUCUGGUCUGUAACUGACGCUGAGGCUCGAAAGUAUGGGUAGCAAACAGGAUUAGAUACCCUGGUAGUCCAUACCCUAAACGAUGAAUGCUAAGUGUUGGAGGGUUUCCGCCCUUCAGUGCUGCAGCUAACGCAUUAAGCAUUCCGCGUGGGGAGUACGGCCGCAAGGAUGAAACUCAAAGGAAUUGACGGGGGCCCGCACAAGCGGUGGAGCAUGUGGUUUAAUUCGAAGCUACGCGAAGAACCUUACCAGGUCUUGACAUACUAUGCAAAUCUAAGAGAUUAGACGUUCCCUUCGGGGACAUGGAUACAGGUGGUGCAUGGUUGUCGUCAGCUCGUGUCGUGAGAUGUUGGGUUAAGUCCCGCAACGAGCGCAACCCUUAUUAUCAGUUGCCAGCAUUAAGUUGGGCACUCUGGUGAGACUGCCGGUGACAAACCGGAGGAAGGUGGGGAUGACGUCAAAUCAUCAUGCCCCUUAUGACCUGGGCUACACACGUGCUACAAUGGAUGGUACAACGAGUUGCGAACUCGCGAGAGUAAGCUAAUCUCUUAAAGCCAUUCUCAGUUCGGAUUGUAGGCUGCAACUCGCCUACAUGAAGUCGGAAUCGCUAGUAAUCGCGGAUCAGCAUGCCGCGGUGAAUACGUUCCCGGGCCUUGUACACACCGCCCGUCACACCAUGAGAGUUUGUAACACCCAAAGUCGGUG